CUUGGUAGAUUGUAAUGAAAUUUCUUCCUAAGAGUCCUCAAGCUAACAUGAAACCUUUCUUUCUCUCUCUAUAAAGUUCAGCUGGUGAGAGAAAGUAUUGAAGAAAGACUUUUAAAGGUUUGUUUAAGGUGAAGUGUAAAGCAUGAAAAUUGAGGUUAGUUUGAGAGAGUGAUGGAAGCUUGAGAAAAGCUUUCAUGGAAGAGGAGAGAAAUGUGAAAUGGGAGGAGGAAGAAGAAG
RNAcentral lists this long non-coding RNA (237 nucleotides) under Theobroma cacao (cacao). RNAcentral describes it as "long non-coding RNA (TCAC_LNC001968)". Lineage: Eukaryota; Viridiplantae; Streptophyta; Magnoliopsida; Malvales; Malvaceae. The record is from RNAcentral.